GAUGAAGAACGUAGCAAAAUGCGAUACUUGGUGUGAAUUGCAGAAUCCCGUGAACCAUCGAGUUUUGAACGCAAGUUGCGCCCGAAGCCUUUUGGCCGAGGGCACGUCUGCCUGGGCGUCACGCAUCGCGUCGCCCCCCACAAUUCUCCGUAAAGGGAACGUGUGUUUUGGGGGCGGAUAUUGGUCUCCCGUGCUCAUGGCGUGGUUGGCCGAAAUAGGAGUCCUUUCGAUGGACGCACGAACUAGUGGUGGUCGUAAAAACCCUCGUCUUUUGUUUCGUGCUGUUGCUCGCAAGGUAAACUCUUUAAAAACCCCAAUGUGUCGUCUCUUGACGACGCUUCGACCGCGACCCCAGGUCAGGCGGGACUACCCGCUGAGUUUAAGCAUAUCAAUAAGCGGAGGA
Molecule: unclassified non-coding RNA, 403 nt
Filed under: soil metagenome
Description: partial contains 5.8S ribosomal RNA, internal transcribed spacer 2, and large subunit ribosomal RNA
Rfam family: 5.8S ribosomal RNA (bases 1-121)
Source: RNAcentral